RNAcentral lists this non-coding RNA (30 nucleotides) under Mus musculus (house mouse). Lineage: Eukaryota; Metazoa; Chordata; Mammalia; Rodentia; Muridae. The record is from RNAcentral.
UACUAAUUUUCAAAGUUAGGAUUGACUCAA